AAAGAAGUAAAAUUGGAGCAUCGGAGUAAUCAAUACGGACUUUGAUAGCCUCGUAUAUGGGGUCCAAGUAAUCAUCAUAAGUGUCAUCUGAAGCAGCAUCCACGGAACAACAUGCAUACAAGAGGGCUUCUUGAUAUAUCCAAUUGAUUUCAUUGUUUAAUAUGUAAGUCGCGGACAUUUCUCGUAGACUUUGCUGGAUUGGUAAAGUGGUAUGCUCUUCAAAUGCACUUAGUACGCUGAUGGCGGCACCGCGAACCGUAUCACUAGCAAAAUCCAUAGAAAAUUCGUUUGCGAUAUAUUCACUGACAUCGCUUUCAUAUACUUCAAUUUGAUGCUUAGGUAGUUGCGUAUAUUGCACCAGAAGUGGAAUGCAAGGAGGUAAAGGAGGUACGGGGACCGUAUUACUGAC
Non-coding RNA from Schizosaccharomyces pombe (fission yeast), 409 nucleotides. The record is from the annotation of a GenBank genome assembly. NCBI's taxonomy places the organism in Eukaryota, Fungi, Ascomycota, Schizosaccharomycetes, Schizosaccharomycetales, Schizosaccharomycetaceae.